This 972-nucleotide ribosomal RNA is filed under the name human gut metagenome. RNAcentral describes it as "bacterial SSU rRNA". It matches the Rfam family "Bacterial small subunit ribosomal RNA", at positions 8 to 987 of the family's 1533-position model. The record is from RNAcentral.
AGAGUUUGAUCCUGGCUCAGGACGAACGCUGGCGGCGCGCUUAACACAUGCAAGUCGAGCGAUGAAAUUUUGACAGAUCCCUUCGGGGUGAAGAUAAAAUGGAUUAGCGGCGGACGGGUGAGUAACACGUGAGUAACCUGCCUUAGACAUUGGGAUAGCCUCGGGAAACCGGGAUUAAUACCGAAUAAAAUCACAGAUACACAUGUAUCCAUGAUCAAAACUCCGGUGGUCUAAGAUGGACUCGCGUCCCAUUAGCUAGUUGGUGAGGUAACGGCCCACCAAGGCGACGAUGGGUAGCCGGCCUGAGAGGGUGAACGGCCACAUUGGAACUGAGAAACGGUCCAAACUCCUACGGGAGGCAGCAGUGGGGAAUAUUGCACAAUGGAGGGAACUCUGAUGCAGCGACGCCGCGUGAACGAAGAAGGCUUUCGAGUCGUAAAGUUCUUUUAUAUGGGAAGAUAAUGACGGUACCAUAAGAAAAAGCCCCGGCUAACUACGUGCCAGCAGCCGCGGUAAUACGUAGGGGGCUAGCGUUGUCCGGAAUCACUGGGCGUAAAGGGUUCGCAGGCGGAAAUGCAAGUCAGGUGUAAAAGGCAGUAGCUUAACUACUGUAAGCAUUUGAAACUGCAUAUCUUGAGAAGAGUAGAGGUAAGUGGAAUUUUUAGUGUAGCGGUGAAAUGCGUAGAUAUUAAAAAGAAUACCGGUGGCGAAGGCGACUUACUGGGCUCAUUCUGACGCUGAGGAACGAAAGCGUGGGUAGCAAACAGGAUUAGAUACCCUGGUAGUCCACGCCGUAAACGAUGAGUGCUAGGUGUCGGUAUAAAUCGGUGCCGCAGUUAACACAAUAAGCACUCCGCCUGGGGAGUACGUGCGCAAGCAUGAAACUCAAAGGAAUUGACGGGGACCCGCACAAGCAGCGGAGCAUGUGGUUUAAUUCGAAGCAACGCGAAGAACCUUACCAGGGCUUGACAU